Pseudopipra pipra is the source of this 1892-nucleotide long non-coding RNA. RefSeq lists it as uncharacterized. NCBI's taxonomy places the organism in Eukaryota, Metazoa, Chordata, Aves, Passeriformes, Pipridae. The transcript is spliced from 3 exons. The record is from RefSeq and is a predicted model, not a curated record.
AGAAAUGGGAAAUCUUUCUCUCUGGAAUGAUCUCUUUUUGGAAUGAUCAGUCACUGGGGUCUUUUACUAUGCAUAAAAGGUCCUCAAGUGACAGAUCUUGGGACUGUCUUUACCCUCUGAAGACAAAUUAAAUGGUUAGAACAUCCAUUAAAAGUAAACUGAUGUCCGAAUUCCUAAGUAUCUCACCUUAACAGGAGUUUCUACAAAACAGCAAACAGAACUGAACCUGAAGUGGAGCAUGAUCCAUGUGUCUUAGAAAGUCAAGGACCUACUGGCUGUGUGCUUUCAAUGAUGGGUGCUCUAUCCCUCUUACCUGCACUUCUGGUACAGACACGAAAGGAACAAGAGGUCACUGAAAAAUUCGGCAGGGCUUCAAGAAGCAAUUUAUUGACAAAAGCAGCAGACGUUUCUCAGAGAGAUUUGAUGAAUUCUCAGCCUCAGUGCUCCCCUGGCAAGGUGAAGGUCAGACACCACCUUUAUAGAAACUUGUCAGGAGAAGGGGAGGAAAUGCUGGAUGAAAUCAUGUGCACUCAAGAUCAGCCAAAAUGUAACAAGCCUGUAAUGCCUCCUAGUGCUCCAGGAAGACCAUUUUGGUGAAGUGAUGCUUUAUCAAGUGGGCAAAGGAUCAAAUAAUUUCAAAGAAGUAAGAUUUUUAAUCCUCCUUUCCUGUUUCUCUUUCGCUCUGUGUAUGUGCUCUCUCUACCUGCCCUAAUUCAGUAUUUCAGGUGCUUUUACCAUUUGUGGGCAAGGCUGACUGUGAGACUAAAGGGAAAGUCUGGCUGUAACAAACCUGUCAGGUAUUUUAUUUGUCUUGCUCAUCCUCCCAUGUGACUCCCUAAAGCUCAACCUGGUGCUCCUUUCUUCAGCUGCCUUAGAACCUGUUGAAUUCCACUUUUAUUGCUGUCUGACCUUGGACAUAGGGUGCAGUUGAGGCAUAGUGAACACUGGGAAUAUGGACAUGAGGUAGCAUUAGACCUCAUCCUCUAGAUAAAGCAAGUGUUAGAUAUUUGGAUGCUAAUUAGUGAAGGAGGAAAAAUUUGAUAUUGGUGCAUGUGAAAUACAGAUGCAUUUAUCCAUAAGUGGAAUUUAUCUAAAAUUGUUUCAAGUUUGCUGCUUGUAAUGGUUUGUUUGCUUAUGGAAUUUGUUUUCUAGAGCUGGGCCCCUUUCUUUCCCAGCCUCUGAGCUGUGUUCAGCAUCUUGAAGAGCCAGAGCGUGUAAGCUCUUUGUGGAAAACAGCUUUUCUCACCAAUAAUUAGUCCUCUAUCCUUUUUUUCCCAUGAAUAUCUGUAACUUCAUUCAGUCAUCCAGUGGAGAGAUUUGUUGCUCAUCACCAGAGCAGCAAGCUCCUUCUCAGGGUUAUCUAUGACACAGCUUAGCAUAUUUUAUAUAUGACAGUCCUUAAAAAAUGUUAAUAAUGUUGGAGUGGCUGUACUGUUGGAACAAUCUCAAAUGCAUAUGCUGACACUGAUCUCUUUUGCUUCUAUCUUGACCAGUCGUUUUCGUGUGUGAAUACUUAUAUUAUGCUAAUCCAUGCCUUGUUAAUAUAUUUAGUAUCUAUUAACAUAAGCAAGGUUGUUGAAUGACGUAAUUUAAGUGCUAGGCACAGCUAUUUUACCUGUGACAGGAGGGCAUGAAAAAUAAUCGUAAUAAAUGUUUAUAAUCAAGAAACAAAGGGGAAAUUGCUUUUGAAUAGCUCUAUAACAACUAGAACACAAGUCUCAAUGUUUUAGAUUUACAUUGCAUCUGAAGAAAAGUACAAAGAUCAGUGUUCACAGAGCCAUUGUGCUGUCUACUCUCUUAUACGGAUCUGAAUCAUGGGUCAUCUACCGCCACCACCUGCAUCUCCUAGAACGCUUCCAUCAACGCUGCCUCCGCACAAUCCUGAACAUCCA